AACACUGGAGGAUAUUGAAACCAAGAUUACAGAAAAGCAAGAGAGAAAAUCAUGUCUUUGCAGCAUUGGAAGAUGUAACCAUUUAAGAGAACUUGAUAUUCAUUACUUUUUAACAGUGAUGCAGGUUGUCUGGGUGCGCAUAUAAAUGCAUCUCUAUCAAUUUUUCUGAAAAAGUAACGACAUUGUUAGGGCAGGAUGCAAGCAUUAAUAUGUUCUUAAAAGCUUGUAUAAAUAGAA
RNAcentral lists this unclassified non-coding RNA (237 nucleotides) under Hevea brasiliensis (rubber tree). The record is from RNAcentral. Lineage: Eukaryota; Viridiplantae; Streptophyta; Magnoliopsida; Malpighiales; Euphorbiaceae.